UGAAACGGUUAUUUGAAGUAUCUUUUUGUGCAUCUCCUCAUCAGAUUACUUGCAGUUUGGGGAACGACAACCUGCCGAUAGUCCAACAGCUUUGAGUUAUUUUUCCCCAGAGGUGAAUGAAAAUUGAAGGUUGAAUAGCAACAGGGGCCUGUACCAUUGUCUAAGGAAUAAGUAUAAUGACGAGAGUUGAGAGGGCAAAUCAACCUUCCAGGAAGAAAACACACAAACAUUUUAAAGAUCACCUGAAACCACAAACUCUAUAAGAUUCUACUCUAAAAAGAUUUAGGGAUCUGGUUUGCGCUGUUAAUAAAAGCUACUUUCUUAUCUGUGCAAUAAGACCGCAUGCGUGCCCUGUGUGUAUAUUGCAUACGUGUGUGUUUCUGCAGUGUAAGCACACGCUGUCCUCCAUCUGCUGUUUGAUAGAGACUGUUUCCUUUCCUGUGCAGCCAGCCAACCAGCCAGCCUUCCUGUACUGCUCUGCUCCAGAGCGGAAAUGGGAACAAGACUGCCACGCACUCCUGACAAAAACCCUGGAUAAGAUACGUUCAGACAGAUGGGAACAGACAAUGACUUUGUCACCCAUUUGAACACAACAACACAGUCUCCUCUCUUUUCUCUUUCCUUCCACCUUUUCUUCCGGCUAUGUUUUCCCGUCUACUGUAUUCGGCAGUGAACAUGUGUGGUAACACCAGUUUGUGUAUGAAUACAAACCGCAGCGUUUCUUAUUCCAAAAGGCUGCAGCAUGCAUGGUCACAUUAAAGCCAGUUUCAAUACUUUACAUAACUGAGCAGUGUCGCUACGGUUUCAAACCACCGUCCAACUUCCUGUUUCUUGGUCCUGGUUACCAGUUGCCACAGACAACAAGCUCUACCCGAGUAGGCCAAUUGAGGAAGUGACACAAACUUGUGAUGAAAACGUCCAGCGACAAACAGCGCUGUGCAAAUCAAAAGUAGCUGUGUGUGAAAAUGUAACCUGCAAAAAAGACUUCGAGUGUGAAGUUAAAACAGCUCAUAACAGCAGUAAAUCACAUUACAUUGAUGCCACCUUAUGUACCGAGAGACCGCAGUGUGCUAAAUCACCUGGAUGAGUGUAGAUUCAAUGUAUGCUGAUUUUCCGAUCCAUAAUAACGGCAGGUCACAUGCUUCUGAAAGGGUCCAGCUGUCACAUUGUCGACGUCUUCAGAGGGCGGUUGGACAGAAGCUGGAGGUGGGGGAGUGAAGUCCAGACGAUCCGUGUGGCUCCAGGCGGCGAUGCAGUUCCUCUCUUGUAGGGAGAAACGGUAUGAAGCAAGAGUAACGAGAGAGCAGUUAAGAGGGUGGCUUCCUCAAAGGAUGAGUAUGUGAAGUAGUAAAGAUGCCCCUGAGGGUUUUCAAACACACCGCACACGAGUUAAACGUCAAACCUACUGAUGCCAUUAGGCUUUGAUGGAAAUGCACAAGAAAGUAUGAAAAUUACAUCCGUCUCGGCCGAGGAAUAUUGAGGAUGGCAAAAAGUUGAAGAAGGCGCCCAAGGGUGAUAUGCAGAUGGUCAAAGAAAUAUAACCACGGUGAAGAAAUUACUUUAAAUUAGUCAUGAGACUCAAAUUAGUCGAUUUUUUGAGGGGUAACAUUUUACAGAGCGAAUUAAGUCUUCCAAAUGCAGCAGACAGCAUCUCCUCGUCC
Gasterosteus aculeatus aculeatus (three-spined stickleback) is the source of this 1661-nucleotide long non-coding RNA. Lineage: Eukaryota; Metazoa; Chordata; Actinopteri; Perciformes; Gasterosteidae. The record is from Ensembl.